GACGAACGCUGGCGGCGUGCCUAAUACAUGCAAGUUGAGCGCUGAAGGUUGGUACUUGUACCAACUGGAUGAGCAGCGAACGGGUGAGUAACGCGUGGGGAAUCUGCCUUUGAGCGGGGGACAACAUUUGGAAACGAAUGCUAAUACCGCAUAAAAACUUUAAACACAAGUUUUAAGUUUGAAAGAUGCAAUUGCAUCACUCAAAGAUGAUCCCGCGUUGUAUUAGCUAGUUGGUGAGGUAAAGGCUCACCAAGGCGAUGAUACAUAGCCGACCUGAGAGGGUGAUCGGCCACAUUGGGACUGAGACACGGCCCAAACUCCUACGGGAGGCAGCAGUAGGGAAUCUUCGGGAAGGGACGAAAGUCUGACCGAGCAACGCCGAGUGAGUGAAGAAGGUUGUCGGAUCGUAAAACUCUGUUGGUAGAGAAGAACGUUGGUGAGAGUGGAAAGCUCAUCAAGUGACGGUAACUACCCAGAAAGGGACGGCUAACUACGUG
Molecule: ribosomal RNA, 497 nt
Filed under: uncultured bacterium
Lineage: Bacteria
Description: partial 16S ribosomal RNA
Rfam family: Bacterial small subunit ribosomal RNA
Source: RNAcentral